Molecule: long non-coding RNA, 2282 nt
Filed under: Oryctolagus cuniculus (rabbit)
Lineage: Eukaryota; Metazoa; Chordata; Mammalia; Lagomorpha; Leporidae
Description: lncRNA (ENSOCUG00000029489.2)
Rfam family: Eukaryotic small subunit ribosomal RNA (bases 2004-2282)
Source: RNAcentral
AUGGCCGCGGCCCGCGCCUCCCCCCUCCGUGUCGGGGGAGGGUCCCGCCGGGCCGGGCUGGCGGUCCGUCGCUCUUUCUUCGUGUUGGGGACCGGCGCGCGUGCCCGUGUGCGCGCGUGCCUUCCGCGUCGCUCUCCGUGUGUUGCCUUGUCGGCCGGGGCUUGGCGGGGGCGCGCGUGGUCCGUCCUGCGCGUCCCUGGGGCUGUGGCGCGAGCGGGCAGCUCUCAGCUUCCCCUGCUCGCCACCCCGGGCUGCGACUGGCCGUCGUCGGGCGGCGGUCGGCACGUGUGUUGGGCUGGGCCCAGCCCUCUCUUCCCCCUCGGCUCGCGUGGUCGCCCCUGGGGAGCGUUCCCUCGGGGUCGCGGUGCUUCUCCGGGCAUGGAGAUCCGGAUGGUUGGAUGGGCGGGAGAUGGCGCGAGGGCCGUCCGGUGUGUGCGGUUGUUGGCGCUGUCGCGUGGAGGCGCCCUGGCGGCGGGGCUCUUGGGUGUGCGUGGGAGAAGACGUGGAGGGUCGCCAGAGGUGGGCUCCGGUGUCCCAGGCGUCGCGGGACCGCCCUGGUGUGUGGCGGUGGGAUCCCGUGUCCGUUUCCCCGGCGGGUCCGGCUUUUGUGGCCCAAGGCGCUCCCUGCGUCCUCUCCCUCGUGCCUCCGGUGCCUCGCCCUCCGUGGCCCUGGUGCGGCCCCCACCCCCCCUCGCUGUCGCUGCGGGCUGGGCCGUUCGCCCUCCCCCCCCUCCGGGGGAGGGUGGGCUCUUUGAGGGCUCCGCUGCCCGCGUGCCCGUGGGGGCCUUGUGGGGUUGGGGUCUGUCCGUGACUGGUGGCGGGGGCGGGGCCGGUGGUCUUCCCCGCGUGAAGAUGCGUGUUUGGGUGGCUGUGGCUGAGGCACGACGGCCCCCGGUUGGCUGCGUCAGGUGCUGCCUUCCCAUCCCCGCGGGACCGCCCUUGCCCUCGGAGGGUGCUGGCGGUGAGAUCCCGCGUGUGGUGGUGGGGGUUGUGUGCUCUGGCGCGACUGGCCGGCCGGCCGGCUGCGUGGUGAGGCCCUUCCGCCCGCACCGUCGUCGCGUGGGUGGCUCUGGUCCUUUUCCCCGUCGCCCUUUGCCCGCGCCUUCCUCCGCCUGCCGGGCGGCCCUGGCCCCCGUCUCCUUUGCCCUCUUUCUCAUCCGCUUCCCGACCCGGGUCGCCGUGACCCUGCUGUGUUUCGCCUCCCCUUGGGCCGGCCCACCGUGUCUUGGUGGUUGGGGGUUCCGGCUCCCCUUCCGCGUGUGGAACCGCCCCCGGGCGGCUGUGGCGUCGCGCGUUGGCUUGUUGGCGUGCGUGGGGGAAGGAGGAGGAGGAGGAGGGGGAGGCGUCGUCACCCCCCAGCUCCCCCCCUGGUGGCGUUGGUGGCUCCGCGGCGGUGGUGGUGCUCGCGCGUGUGCCCCGAGUCCCGCGGGUGUGUCGUGGCUGGUUCCUCCGGGCCGUCGCGUCGUGGACUUGGUGUGGCGGCCGGCGUCGCGUGUGUGCGGGCGCCGGUCGGCCUGGGCGGGGUGUGGCCGAGAUGGGCUCCGGCCCGCCUCGGGCCUUGCCCCGUCGGGGCGCGCUUGGACACGAGGUGCGGUCACGACGUGAACGACCCGCUGGUGCCGGUCCCUUCCCCCCGCUGGCUCGGGCUCGCCCUCGCGUGCCCGCCGUCGCUCGGGGUCCGCUCCGUCUGCUGGGGGUGUGUGUGUCUGUGGGGCGGGAGCCUCCGGGUCCCCCUCCUCCCGAUCUCCUCUCCCCCCUCUGCCGCCUCUGCCGCGCCCCGUCCCUGGGGUGUGUGCGGGUGAGCCGCCGGGGCUUGACCCGCUCGCGUCCGAGGACGCCCCUGAUCCCGCCGGCUCUGUCGUCCGGCUUGCUUCCCCGCGGAGGCUUGCGGCCGCGCCGCCGUGGUGCGCGCCCCGCGCCGGUUCCCGGCUUCUCUCUCGCCUGUGCGAGCGAGCGAGCGAGCGGCGGUCCCUGCCGGUCCCACCCUCUUGACCGCGCGCUCCUACCUGGUUGAUCCUGCCAGUAGCAUAUGCUUGUCUCAAAGAUUAAGCCAUGCAUGUCUAAGUACGCACGGCCGGUACAGUGAAACUGCGAAUGGCUCAUUAAAUCAGUUAUGGUUCCUUUGGUCGCUCGCUCCUCUCCUACUUGGAUAACUGUGGUAAUUCUAGAGCUAAUACAUGCCGACGGGCGCUGACCCCCUUCGCGGGGGGGAUGCGUGCAUUUAUCAGAUCAAAACCAACCCGGUCAGCCUCCCCCCGGCCCCGGCCGGGGGGGUGGGCGCC